UACGGAGGAUGCAAGCGUUAUCCGGAUUUAUUGGGUUUAAAGGGUGCGCAGGUUGUUUGAUAAGUCAGUGGUGAAAGUCUGUCGCUUAACGGUAGGAUUGCCAUUGAUACUGUUGGACUUGAAUAUGGAUGAGGUAGGCAGAAUGUGUAGUGUAGCGGUGAAAUGCAUAGAUAUUACACAGAACACCGAUUGCGAAGGCAGCUUACUAAUCCAUCAUUGACGCUGAGGCACGAAAGCGUGGGGAUCAAA
Molecule: ribosomal RNA, 249 nt
Filed under: uncultured prokaryote
Description: partial 16S ribosomal RNA
Rfam family: Bacterial small subunit ribosomal RNA
Source: RNAcentral